GUGGUUGCUUCCGUAGCACGUAUACUAAAAUUAGAAUAAUACAGAGAAGAUUAGCAUGCCUCCUGUGCAAAGAUGACAUAAAAAUUCAAGAACUAGUCAGGUUUUUU
Meriones unguiculatus (Mongolian gerbil) is the source of this 107-nucleotide small nuclear RNA. Lineage: Eukaryota; Metazoa; Chordata; Mammalia; Rodentia; Muridae. The record is from Ensembl.